ACUCCUACGGGAGGCAGCAGUGGGGAAUCUUGGACAAUGGGGGCAACCCUGAUCCAGCCAUGCCGCGUGAGUGAUGAAGGCCUUAGGGUCGUAAAGCUCUUUCGCCUGUGAUGAUAAUGACAGUAGCAGGUAAAGAAACCCCGGCUAACUCCGUGCCAGCAGCCGCGGUAAUACGGAGGGGGUUAGCGUUGUUCGGAAUUACUGGGCGUAAAGCGCGCGUAGGCGGAUUAGUCAGUUAGAGGUGAAAUCCUAGGGCUCAACCCUGGAACUGCCUUUAAUACUGCUAGUCUUGAGUUCGAGAGAGGUGAGUGGAAUUCCGAGUGUAGAGGUGAAAUUCGUAGAUAUUCGGAGGAACACCAGUGGCGAAGGCGGCUCACUGGCUCGAUACUGACGCUGAGGUGCGAAAGUGUGGGGGAGCAAACAGGAUUAGAUACCCUGGUAGGAUAGCG
RNAcentral lists this ribosomal RNA (449 nucleotides) under uncultured bacterium. RNAcentral describes it as "bacterial SSU rRNA". It matches the Rfam family "Bacterial small subunit ribosomal RNA", at positions 335 to 799 of the family's 1533-position model. The record is from RNAcentral.